Molecule: ribosomal RNA, 497 nt
Filed under: uncultured bacterium
Lineage: Bacteria
Description: partial 16S ribosomal RNA
Rfam family: Bacterial small subunit ribosomal RNA
Source: RNAcentral
GAUGAACGCUGGCGGCGUGCCUAAUACAUGCAAGUCGAGCGAACGGACGAGAAGCUUGCUUCUCUGAUGUUAGCGGCGGACGGGUGAGUAAAACGUGGAUAACCUACCUAUAAGACUGGGAUAACUUCGGGAAACCGGAGCUAAUACCGGAUAAUAUUUUGAACCGCAUGGUUCAAAAGUGAAAGACGGUCCUGCUGUCACUUAUAGAUGGAUCCGCGCUGCAUUAGCUAGUUGGUAAGGUAACGGCUUACCAAGGCAACGAUGCAUAGCCGACCUGAGAGGGUGAUCGGCCACACUGGAACUGAGACACGGUCCAGACUCCUACGGGAGGCAGCAGUAGGGAAUCUUCCGCAAUGGGCGAAAGCCUGACGGAGCAACGCCGCGUGAGUGAUGAAGGUCUUCGGAUCGUAAAACUCUGUUAUUAGGGAAGAACAUAUGUGUAAGUAACUGUGCACAUCUUGACGGUACCUAAUCAGAAAGCCACGGCUAACUACGUG